RNAcentral lists this ribosomal RNA (442 nucleotides) under uncultured bacterium. Its description in RNAcentral is "bacterial SSU rRNA". It matches the Rfam family "Bacterial small subunit ribosomal RNA", at positions 338 to 795 of the family's 1533-position model. The record is from RNAcentral.
CCUACGGGAGGCUGCAGUCGAGAAUCUUCCACAAUGGGCGCAAGCCUGAUGGAGCGACGCCGCGUGAAGGACGAAGUCCUUAGGGACGUAAACUUCUUUUAUGAGGGAGGAAAUUUUGACGUUACCUCAUGAAUAAGGGGCUCCCAACUCUGUGCCAGCAGGAGCGGUAAUACAGAGGCCCCGAGCAUUAUCCGGAUUUACUGGGCGUAAAGGGUGUGUAGGUGGCAUAGUUAGUCUCUCGUCAAAUCUCAGGGCUUAACCCUGGAAUCGCGAGGGAAACGGCUACGCUCGAGGAUAGGAGAGGUAGAGGGAACUCAAGGUGUAGGGGUGAAAUCCGUUGAUAUCUUGGGGAACACCAAAAGCGAAGGCACUCUACUGGCCUAUUCCUGACACUGAAACACGAAAGCGUGGGUAGCGAACGGGAUUAGAUACCCGAGUAGUC